RNAcentral lists this long non-coding RNA (383 nucleotides) under Androctonus crassicauda. The record is from RNAcentral. Lineage: Eukaryota; Metazoa; Arthropoda; Arachnida; Scorpiones; Buthidae.
GCAAAAACAAAUAAAUAUGAAUUGUCAAUUGCAUGGUAAUUUUAGCCAAAGAAAAAAAUCGACAAAUAUAAAUUUCUAUUAUUUAAUUUAUAUUUUGUGACAUACAAAACAAAAUGCUGCCCUUUAGAUUCGCCGCCCCGAACAAAUGUCCGGAUUGCUCGCCCCUAGAGCGGGCGCUGACUGACGGGACAAAACAAACCCUUUCAGAGAUUAUCUUCUGCGAAAGGGUCAGCCGGACUGUGGAGGACGUCGAUCGAUGGGGGGCCGGACACCAUGAUAUAUAUUUACAAGGGAUGGAACCAAAGAUUCGAACUCGGAUCAUCCAGAAUGGAAAGCCAAAGCAUUUCCACGUGGCCAAUCCGGCCGACUCUAUCUUUAGGCAC